CGCGGCCCCUGUAAAGCGCGGCCUGAUUGGCCCUUUGAACCGGGCGUGGGAUUGGCCGUCGCCUGCCCACCCCGCGGCUGCAGCGUUCCCUGGGGCCUAGCCAACCGCGGGCAGGGCUGGGCAAGGCGGGAGGAGCGCGGACCCAAGAUCGGCUACGCUGCGUCUGCUCAGGCUGCGAGUUCCCGGCUCUGGGGACUCACCUUGCGGAGCUUACCCAGGCGGACUCUCCGCAGCCCCUGAUGGAAAUUUUCUAAUCCCGUGGCGAACCCCCGUACUUCAACAAAAGAAAACUGAGAUCCAGGAAAGGGAAGUGAUUUUCCAAAGACACACCUGUGAAAGCCGUGUUGAACCAUGAAAGGACCUCAGGAAUGAAACCCACACACAGCAAAGCAACAAAGUGAAAGAAGCGUGGAUUCCUAAUGCAGGAGGCACUGAACCAAUCAAUACCCACUGCCCUCCAGACCUCCACAUGAAAGAAAAAAACUGCUGUCCUGUGAAGAAGACACUCCCCAGAUGCCAGCAACUUGAUAUUGGACUUCCUGCCUUUAGAAACGUGAGAAAUAAAUUUUUUUUCUUUAUAAGUUACCCAGCCUCUGGCAUUCUGUUAUAGCAGCACAGAACAGACUAAGACAGCCACUGAAACCAGAUCUAUGUCCCGGACCACCCUCAUUUGCCUCAAUUUCUCUCUAUAUAUAAUAAGAACAAAUAAUGCAAAUGCUAUCUAUACUUCCCCGUGACUACAGGGAGACUAAGGGAUGAAAUAUAUAAUCACACUUUGAAAAUAUAUAAAUGUUAUCCAACCAUACAUCCAUUGUUUCACAUCAGGCUGGGCCACAUAGCUUCCUCUGUACCCUUUAGUUUCCUGCCCUUAUCUCUAUCACAGGCCAUAUAUCAAAUGCCUAGUAAUUAUCAGUGCAUCUAUAUAUUCCCUAUUCUCCCCAACAAUACAUAAAAGGUUAUUGCAUUGCAUUGAAUUAUAAGACUUGAUUACUGGAAAGUCUAGACAUCACUCAGGGUCAUUGUGGGG
This 1027-nucleotide long non-coding RNA is filed under the name Homo sapiens (human). RNAcentral's name for it is "HSALNT0007739". The record is from RNAcentral. Lineage: Eukaryota; Metazoa; Chordata; Mammalia; Primates; Hominidae.